Aedes albopictus (Asian tiger mosquito) is the source of this 8968-nucleotide long non-coding RNA. RefSeq lists it as uncharacterized. The transcript is spliced from 3 exons. Lineage: Eukaryota; Metazoa; Arthropoda; Insecta; Diptera; Culicidae. The record is from RefSeq and is a predicted model, not a curated record.
GAUGAGAAAAAGGAGAAUUUAUCAGAAAGUACUGUUUAAUUCUACAGUUAAUAAAAGAUACAUUGAAUAUCAUACUACAUUAAUAUUCGUAAUGCAUGGGCUAUGAGGCCAUACGUUAUCUCCGAAAUGGUUGGUAGUAUUUCUAACGUCACAAAAAAUCUGUUUAAUAUACAAAUGUAUUCUUUAGUGAAAUAAAUAACAGAAUUCGUUUCUUCUGGACUGCUUUUACCUGUGUUGAAAACAGUGUCAAGUUCAGUUAGUUUUGUAAGGUACUUCUCUAUUAAUCCAUCACAUUCGAUCUGAGUUUGAAAAUAGUUACAAAAUACCACUUCUGAUGCUCGCCGAAACAAACUUUGAUCUAGUUCGACUGUCUUGGACUCUUCAAAAGGUAAAAUUAUUAUCGCAUUGAAUAAGGCUCUAGAUAAAUUGUGAUCUUUCUCUUUUAUCAAAUGUGGUCCUCAAUGUGUGUGUAUUCGCUUGUUCAGUGAUACUAUAUGUAUAACAUUAGGAAGGAGUAUAGUUUGAACCAAAGCUUGUACAUAGAAGACAAUAGGAUAAAUUCAGGUAUAGCUUAAAGAGUUUUAGACAACGAUUGUUGGGUAAAGAGUUUAACAAUACGUUUUAACAGGAUAUGUUGAAACUUGAGUUAGUAUAGGAAAUUUACAAUAGGUGCAGUCAUAUGAGUUUCUUCUCCGUAGUUUGAUGGUGUUGUUUUUUUUUUUUUUUAACUUGUAGUCUACUCUUAUAUUCCAGGGAUAGUAAGGCGUAAUAAAUGUAACUUGUGUAUACUCUAUGGUUUAGGACAAGACUACCAUUCAACAUUAUUUGGUUCUCAUGUAUAAAAGUGAUUUCAUCUUUCAAUCGAUGUUCCUUUUUGGUAUAGCCAUAUGAUGCAUUGUCAAUCAUCGGAGCUUAUGACAGGUUUAAUGACAGUAUUUAAAUCCUUUCUACGACAUUUGAAAACAGAAACAAUGAUACCUAUGUACAUCGAUAUUGGAAACGAUAAUUCUGUUUUCUUUUAUUUUAAUGCUCUCAAUAUUUAGCAUUAAACCUAACAUUAAGAUUUCUGAUACUUUAGUUCCGCUUUUUACGUGAGGUUAUGGAGGGAAUCUAGUACAAGACACAUAACGACCUCGUUUCAAAUAUUCUUUUCUCCCAUGUGGUAUCUGUUUUUGUAUUUUCUAUGGAUUCCAAUUUGGUGGACUAGAUUCCAUAAUCUGGUUCUGCUUAAAUUUGGACUAAGGGACAUCAGAAGUAAUCCGACUUUUAAUGUUGACACACAUAUUCCUGAUUAUUUUUACUUGUCAGGCUUAAAAGCUUCACAAGUUGCAUCGAUAUGGAUUUCUUGACAAACAUUGAAACAUCUUGCAUCCCCUCUUGUGGAGCCGACGUGACAGAGUUAACCUAAACGUACCCGACCCUCGACAAUUCAUUUUCAAAAUGCUGGCAUUUCGUCAAUUUUUAUCCAAUUUUUUUAAAGUUGCCCUCAAUCUAUCAUAAAUUGGUGUUAGUUUAUUACACUCAAGUGGCUAUGCAACUUCCGGAACCAUUCCGGGGAUAUUCCGGAUUAUGUUGGGGCCAGGGGGUUGCCAAAAUGGCUAAAAGUGAUUAUUUCGUGUGUUAUUGUUUGAACCAUCGAUUUUUAGCGAAAUAUUUGUUGCGAACAGUGAUCAAACUGCGAUAACCAGGUUUGAAUAAGUUGACCCAUCCGGAUCCUCGUGACAGGUUCCGGGGGACCUCAUUGGGGACACUUCUGGUUUUUAACCUAAGCAUGUAGUGCGACAUAUUAAUCUUCGUGAUUUCGAAUAACUGAGUCAGAAAUGAUAGACUGAAGUCUGUAUCAACUAAUAUGGCUUCCUCGAAACAUCUAGCAUAGUUUCCACGGGGGUGUCAUCGGGGACAUUUCUAGUUUGCAACCAAAACAUACCGUGCGACGUAUCAAUCUUCAUGAUUUCGAGAGAAUGGGCAGAAAAAAAUGACUGAAGUAUGUAUCAACUGAUGUGGCCGCUCCGGAAAACCUAGAACAGGUUCCACGGAGGUCUCUCAAAUACAAUAACAGACGGAAUAAUCACUUUUAGCCGUUUGUCAAAACAGACCCCUUCCCCAUCCACUGACGCCAGUACAAUUCGAAAUAUCUCCGGAAUGGUUCCGGACAUUACAUGGCCACGUGAGUGCAAUAAACUUGCAUCAAUUUAUAAUCGGGGCGACUAUCAAAAAAAUCGGAUGAAAAUUGACGAAAUGCCAGCAUUUUGAAAAUUAGUUGUCGGGGGUCGGGUACGUGAAGGAUAAAUAUGUUGCUAGGGUAUUGGUUCCCUUAUUAAGCAUGUGGUUCCCAUUCUCAUCCUACGAAAAACAAAGGAUUGAAGCGCUAUUUGUUUUGUUUCUUAUUUUUGUAUUUUUUGUUAGAAGUGAGCAUCCAUGAAAACAAAAAGAACGGAAUCAAUCGGUGCCGUAAUCGCUUGUUUUCGGAUAGGAUGAAUAUGGGAGCGUGAGAUUACUGAUGGCACACAUACCCUAUAUAGGGCUCGUGCCUUUACGAUUUUUAUUGGACCAUUACUGAAACUUGUAUGCUUUUGUUUUAAACAAACAUUGUACUAGUACUCACAGUAAUAGUGACAAUAAUAGCCCAAAAGAACUUAAUAUUGUCUGAGAAUCAGAGCUUUAAGGUUUGAUAAAUGACAUCGAGCAGGCAGUACUUCUAUAAAAAGUAUCAUGUAACAAUAAUAUGUUGUAGUUGGUGCAAACUGCAAUUCCCAAGACGCUUCAACUACCAAUCAAUGCGUAAAUUUGAUGAGCUGAAUUAAACGUUCAAGUCUCAGGGAAUUUGACCGAUAAAACCCUUCAUGACGAAGAAAACAAAACGGCCGAAAAUAUUUAAGAAGCCUUAGUUAAUAUCCAAUUUAACGGAAACUGCAGAAAAGCAUCAAAAUGAUAUGAGGAUGGCACACAACUUUAGACUGUACGAUAGCAUGGGACACGCUUGUAUGAAAAGCAAAAAUCCUCGCAUCAGUUCAUUUUUCGGGUUUCAAUUAAGUCCCGUAUGGACUAAGCAAAAUUUCAUCGCAAUCGGUAAAACAAUACUCAGUUAAUAAAUGUGAAAGUGCUCUAAGAACAAUAAGUUGAAGAGAGGCAGGCAAAGUUCUAAUGCGAAUGUCGAGCCAUAAAGAAGAAGAAAAAGAACACUCCUUACUGAAAAAUAAUCAUUCCUUCAAAGACGGCAAAAUGAUUUGUGGCUUGUGAAAAAAAGUUAUUUAAUUAUAUAUCCCAGAAACAGCUGUAGCUAAUGUAAGAUCGUAGCAGGCUGUGCGCGCAAGCGGCUGCGGUUUUCGAAACUGUCACGCGUAUUUGUUUGCUUCGCCUUGUUUUGAAUAUAGCCGGCCGAAUUGAGAAACGGCUGGUGGCGCUAUGCCUUCCGCAAAUUUUACCUCGAAAAGUGCUUGAAAAUUGAUUUUCGGGAUUCAACGUAUUUCUUUUACCUGACGAUUUAGCGGAUCACGUAAUUAAAAUUUGCACUUCAAGUGAGUCGUUUUCGAGCAUCUACCUCUACGUAGUUACCCGUCGUAUCAAAUAGAAUGCGAACGACGCGUUUGAUCGCCUUCCAGGUAGCAUUGUUCUUCCUCUACAAGUGGUUGAGGAAGCGUUGCCUGUACGAUAGGCAAACAGUUUCAAACAAUAAACAAAUCGCUUUCGCUCUUCGUACAUAUGUACAACAGAGAUGGUUAUAUUUGCGGUUUAGGGGAAGAUGAUAUAGAUCGAUGAGAUUAGAAUUGAACCUUAUGACAACUAAGUUGCCGGGUCAUUAAUUGGCUCGGUAGCUUAGUUGGUAAAGCACUUGUCUAGCGAAUAAGGGUCGUGAGUUCAAAUCUCACCUGAGCUGUGGUUUUUUUUCCCAAUUUAACCAAUAAUUUACCCAUCUGUACAUAUGUACGUUGAGUUAUUUGAAUUUCAUAAGGAUCACGUACGACAACUUGCAAUUGUUGUGAAAGUUGGUCUUAUUCCCAUCGGGGUGCCGGAAUUCGUCUUCAUUUCCGCGUGAUUUCCGUGAAGUUUUUUUUUGUGAUAUUGCUGCUGGAUAUCCGGUAGGUGGUGAGUUUGCUACUGUAUAUCGUUUUGGUGCGUUGACCAGACGCAUACUUUAAACUUUACCCUUCCAUAACAACACCUAAAUUCCCGUGGCAUCUAGGCCUGAGAGGAUGUAGAGGUCUCUACAUACCUUUUUUAGUUGUACAACGAACUUCCUUUCUCAUCCCCCAGCUGCGGCAAGGACGUGGCCAGGACAGCUUUCGACCAUUGGAAGGUUUCGUAAAUAUUGUCUUCGAGUCAGUGAUAAGCCCUAAAUCUCUUUCCUUUGGUAACGGAUGAGAAGGAGGCCAUCCUCAUAACAACGGUCUGGGACUGUACCUACGAAUUUGUGUGACUUGCUUAAUGCUAACGCUAAUGUUAAUGCUAAAGAAACAGCAGCAGCCAAGGCAAAACCUCUGAAAACCCCUUGAAGUGCACUUGAAAUGCCUCGAGACGCAUCUGAAUCUUACAUAAUCACACUGAAAUUUCCGUAAUCAAUUUGGAAUACCCUUAAAACCUUCAAGAACCCAUUUAAAAAACUCCAGAAACACCCAGUUAGCCUAGUGAUUAAGGCUACGAAACGCCAAUCCGGAGACGGCGGGUUUGAUUCCCGUUCCAGUCGGGAAAAUAUUCUCUACACCCUGGGCAUAGUGUAUCAUUGUGCUUGCCUCACAAUAUACAAAUUCAUGCAAUGGUAGGCAAAGAAAGCCCUUCAAUUAAUAACUGUGGAAGUGCUCAAAGAACACUAAGUUGAAGCGAGGCAGGCCAAGUCCCGGUGGGGGCGAAGAGCCAUAAAGAAGAAAAAGAAGAAGAAAAAACCCUAAAAAUACCUUGAAGCGUCUCUGAACUCCUAUCAAACGCCCUCAAAACCUCUCAAAACGUCCUUUGUUUUAAAACUGUCUGGAACUCUCUGAAAUGGCUCCUAACCAGUGCUUGAAAAUUGAAGCGUUUUCCUCCGAACAAAGCAAAAUUUGCUUCUCUUUAACCAGAGCUGUAGCUGUAUACCUUCAUUGGCUAACAUGCUUCAGAAGCUAGUGGGAGCACGAGCAAUCAAAUUUGUUACUGAGAGUGAGAAAUGGUGGUUCAUAUGCGUGGUGGCUCUCUGAAUCUUUCUUUUCGCCGACGUAUACGACAAUAAAAACUUAGUUUUUAUCAAGUUAUUACAGUGCAAAUAACAUGAACUCAAAUUAAAUCGAUUACAAUAGUCACGUACAACAUUCCCAUAUCAACAGAAUGAUUGUUUUUACUAGAGCAACAAAUAAAACCGCUGAAUCAUUUCCCCAUCUUCACACUAACCGCAGCAAAUGAGCAUGAACGAUCACCAGUCAGUUUGCUUCACAAGUAAACCGGUCGAUGAGGAAUAGCAGUCGCAGUUCGUUCGGCGCUCCCUUGGCGUAUUCGUUCGUAGCUGAUAACUGGUCGUGUAUUUCAUUUUCACUCAAAUUCAAGCGCUGCUCCUAACGCUUUUUAAAGGCUUCUGAGACUCCCAUUGAAUCGCCCUUACAGACCCUUGAAACGUCCCUGAAACCCUCGUGAUCCCAUUGGAAUGCCAACGAACGCCAUUAAAUAGAUACUGAAAUUCCCUUUGUAGCCAAAGGAAGCUCAAUGAAUUGGUUUCCGGGCAAAUGUUCGUGUGGAGGCCAGACUUUGUCACGAUAUAGCAACCAUCAUGUUGUAUUCCAAGGGUCUCCAUUGAAUAUUGCUUAUCCUGCUACAAUAAAUCAUCAGGUAGAUCAUUUCGUUCCGGUAUGACUCUGCGGCCAUAAUUAAUCCUUGCGAUGAUGGUAUGUACACAAUCAUCAUCAUCAUCAUCAUCAUCAUCAUCAUCAUCAUCAUUAUAACCAUCAAAAUUGCCUCUUUUAUGCCUUUUCAAGUUUAUGAAUAUCUUGAAUUAAUGCACUCGCAAUGGCGUAGGAGGUUCCAGUGUACAUAGCAAAAUCAGAGACAUCCCCUCCCCUGUUUGCUUAAUAUUCAGUGCAGCUUUAUAGAGCAGCCUUCGUUGCUCCCUUGCUUUAUUAUUGCUGGCCCCUGCAUCGUCCUUCUGGCUUGGAAGCACUCUGCACGCAGAUCAGCAAUCGUCGGAUUCCACCAGUAGGCUCGACAGUGUCUUGGAUUUCCCAACUUUGGCGUGAUUGCAUCACAUGCUCGGGAUAGAUUCGCUAUAAGCUGGUGUGCGCUGUAGCUCAGCGAGUUUUCUUCCAGCCUCAGAGCUUCCUUAAACACUUCUUUAUUGAAGUUCGCUGUCUUCCAUUUUCGCUCUUUGAAUUCCACUUGACUCCGCUUGCAUUGUGUCUCCGAUAUGAUACCGAAUAGUGUGAUGGUCACUGUGGAUAUAUUCUUUACUUUCUACCCAAUUUAUCGCUCUCAUCAGACAAGGGCUGCAGAAAGAUCCCCUGGAACCUCAUGAGACACCUUGAAGCUCCCCUGAAACGUUCACAUCCUUGAGACUCACUGAAGCACCCCUAAGACCACCUGGAACCACAUGAAACCUCCUAAGACCAGAUGGUACUCCCGGAACGUUCUUGAAACGCCCCUGAGAUCAUCUGGGACCUCUUGGUACCCCCUGAAGCUCCCUGCUACCUCCCUUUACUUCACGCUAUAAAUGCACCCUGGCCGCUGUUACCGUAUUUAUUAAAUUUUCUCAUGCAAAAUAUUGGUUCUGAAUAGACUUUAGAUUUUCUUUCUCUUUUUUUUUGGACAUAAAAAGGUGCAUAAGGCAUCGUGCACAAAUUACGUAAUGCUAUAGGGGGAGGGUGGGACUCCGGCUUAGCGUUACGAUCCAUACACAUUUUUUUUGGGUAUACAUAUAAAAAGCGUUACCAUGGGGGAAGGGGUCUGAAAUGAUCUAUUUCAGCGUUACGUAAUUUGUGUAACAUGCCUAAAUUAGCAGCCUAAUUAAGAGUGCAUAACAAUAACCUGCAUAAGAAGAGGUUUUGGUAUAGUCGAUGGAUAGGUGGAAGAUUUGUUAAACAACUAGUAAUUCCUUAAAAUAAUAAGAUUAAAUCAUUGUCCCUCGAAUUAUAUUUAAGUCUACUCCAUGUCUAUUCCGGUUGCGAUUUCGAUUUUGUUAAAAUAUGGCUAUUUUCUACAGCUUAAUCGAAUGAGCUCAUUUUUCUGAGCUCAUUUUUCUGAUACCUUUAUUGUGAUUGUUAAAUGAACAAUAACACAUUCUACCGUGACGUUACAACGUUUUGACACCUUUUCUGUCAGAUUUUUCGCUAUAACUCGUAAAUUCGACCGUAAACCCUCAAAUAUUUUUGCGUAUUCGGAUUCCUUGUAAAAAUUUCAACAAGUUUAAUCUGUUAAACAGUUAGUUUUCAGUAGAAAAGUAUGUUAAACAUGGGAAUUAGUGGCGUGACGUUAUCACGGUGUAACGUCAAGCUACUCAUUACCACUUUUAACAUGCUUUCCCAAAGAAAACUAGCUGUUCAACAGAUCAUACUUAUUGGAAAUUUCACAAGGAAUCCAAAUAUGUAAAAAUAUUUGAGGGUUUACGGUCGAAUGUACGAGUUAUAGCGAAAAAUCUGACAGAAAAGGUGUCAAAUCGUAGUAACGUCACGGUAGAAUGUGUUACAAUACAGUUUUAUUUAGUUUCCCUGUAUAGAAUGACAGUGCAUUUGAUUAAAUGAUAGUUCACCCCGAACAAAAAAUUUCCCCUUACAUAUUUUAAAUGCAUUCCAAAAAUAGUUCCAGGACAUCAAAAAUGAAGAAAUGUUGAAUUUCAAAUAUGGUUAAGGCGGAUACUCCAAUUAUGACUUAAUCUGGAUACCCCUGAAGAACGCAAUUCAAUUUUCGUCAUACCUUCUACGUUAUCCAGUGACACUAUGAUACGUAGUAUGGUCAAAAGUUAUGAUUCGACUGACCGUAGCUGUGUAUUCAAAAAGUCAAUCAAAUUCUUUGCAACUUGAAGCAAAUCAUGAUUUCGAAUGACUAUGCAAUGACAAAGCAUAAAGUUUUCAAAAUGCGAUGGAUUAAUUUGAAAAAUAACGAAAAAAAUAUUUUAGUUAUUGUUUUUGACCACCAGAUCAUGAUACGCCUUCACAGUGCAACAAAGAAAUAUUUCUCAGUAGUUGUGAAUUAAGCACGUGGCUCCCAUUUUCAUCCUACGAAAAACAAAGGAUUGAAGCGUUGUUUGUUUUGUUUCUUAUUUUUGUAUUUUUUGUUAGAAGUGAGCACCCAUGAAAACAAAAAGAACGGAAUCAAUCGGUGCCGUAAUCGCUUGUUUUCGAAUAGGGUGAAUAUGGGAGCGUGAGAUUACUAAUGGUACACAUACCCUAUAAUGUUUCGUAUGCAUAGCAGCCAUGCCCGCAUUUUCUUGUAUCCUCCCCUGGACGAAGAAACUAGUUACAAAUUUGAAUUUGAUCGACGGGAAAUUGUAAUAGGGGAACUUACGUAUUUUCGGCAGUUUUGUUCUCUUCUUCAGGGGUUUUUUUUUUUGAAACCAGACUCGUUGUCCCUCCUACGCGCGUCGUCGGUCCCAAUAUUAGUGUGGUAUUAAGUGAUUUUAUCAACGGGAAUUCGAACCGAAUUAGUGGCUAGUUCCAGCCAGUACUCGUCGUCCCUCCACCACGCGUCAUCGGUCUCAGUGUUAGUGAGGGAUAAAGUGAUUUUUCCAGCGGGAAUUCGAACCGAGUGUGUUUUGGGAGGCAAAGUAGAGGUGCCGCUUUUUUCAUUCGGGGUGGCCGCGUCGUCGUCGAUUUGACUGUGUGCAUCGUCGUUUCUCGGGUGUAAUCGGAGCGGUUGAGUGUUAUUUCGGAGACGAAGCCAGUUGGUGGAAGAUGCUGCAGUGGACACUUGGAUGGAUAUUUAUCGGUGAGCUCGUUCCAUUUUAAUUUUAUGUUUAUUAUAAUAGUUAAUGCUGAUGUAUAGUAUUCACCAUUAUAACAUGAAAUGUUGCUGUUUGUUU